Molecule: ribosomal RNA, 987 nt
Filed under: uncultured bacterium
Lineage: Bacteria
Description: bacterial SSU rRNA
Rfam family: Bacterial small subunit ribosomal RNA
Source: RNAcentral
GUCGAACGGCACCACAGAGGAGCUUGCUCCUUGGGUGGCGAGUGGCGGACGGGUGAGGAAUACAUCGGAAUCUACUUUUUCGUGGGGGAUAACGUAGGGAAACUUACGCUAAUACCGCAUACGACCUACGGGUGAAAGCAGGGGACCUUCGGGCCUUGCGCGAUUGAAUGAGCCGAUGUCGGAUUAGCUAGUUGGCGGGGUAAAGGCCCACCAAGGCGACGAUCCGUAGCUGGUCUGAGAGGAUGAUCAGCCACACUGGAACUGAGACACGGUCCAGACUCCUACGGGAGGCAGCAGUGGGGAAUAUUGGACAAUGGGCGCAAGCCUGAUCCAGCCAUACCGCGUGGGUGAAGAAGGCCUUCGGGUUGUAAAGCCCUUUUGUUGGGAAAGAAAUCCAGCUGGCUAAUACCCGGUUGGGAUGACGGUACCCAAAGAAUAAGCACCGGCUAACUUCGUGCCAGCAGCCGCGGUAUACGAAGGGUGUGGCGUUACUCGGAAUACUGGGCGUAGGCGUGCGUACGUGGUCGUUUAGUCCGUUGUGAAGCCCUGGGCUCACCUGGGAACUGCAGUGGAUCUGGGCGACUAGGUGUGGUAUAGGGUAGCGGAUUCCUGGUGUAGCAGUGAAAUGCGUAGAGACAGGAGGAACAUCAUGGCGAAGGAGCUACUGGACCACACUGACACUGAGGACGAAGCGUGGGGAGCAACGGAUAGAUACCUGGUAUCCACGCCUAACGAGCGACUGGAUGUGGGUGCAUUUGGACGCAUAUCAAGCUACGCUUAAUUCCCGCCGGGGAUACGUCGCAGAUGAACUCAAGGAUUGACGGGGCCGCACAGCGUGGAUAGUGGUUAUUCAUGCACCGAGAACUUACUGGCUGACUGUCAGACUUCAGAAUGAUUGUGCUUCGGACUCAACCAGUGCUGCUGCUGUCUCACUCUGUCUGAAGUUGGUAGUCCGCACACGCACCUGUCUAUUGCACACUAUGUGGA